GUUUUUCUCACAAAAAAAAACCUACGCUCUGAUAUCGACUUCUUCCACCUUCACUCUUUGUACCGAUUUAGAGUAUAAGCUCCCAUGGUUGUAGAACCUGCACUGAUUUCAAGGCCGAAUUUUCACUCUGCAUUUUGAUUUGAAGUUCUAACUAUUUUGAUUUUCGGUUGGAUGAUCAUUAUACGUAGAUUUGGUACUUCUUAUCCAAUAGUUGGCAGAUCAUUAAUGAGUUAAAAGCUAUAGAAAUAGCAAAUUUAUAAGGUCUAAUAAUCUUCCUAGCAAUAACAAAGUUUAGGUUUGGGAUCCAAUUCUAGCCACCACGACCUUCAAAACUACUCACCACGGUUGUGUAUGAUAGUGUUCGUGUUCUUGAAGAUGGUAUUGUGUAUGAUAGUGUUCGGAGCUUCCCAAAUAGGUGAAGAAUACGAUAAAGACACUCAUAGUAUAUGAGACAACAAACCACAAUGUAUGUUGGAUUAGGUGUCAAAGUGUAACGUCCCAAAAAUAAAAGCCAAAAAUUUUAUUUUUAAAAACGUCAAUAUAAAACCAACAGUGUAAUAAAACAUCUGUAAUAUCAUGUCAUGUCAAAACCAAAGUAGAAAUAAUCAAACGUGUUAUCAUAAAAUAAUAUGAAAGUGUAAUCCCAAAGAUCUCAUGUGCGGAAAACCAUAGUGUGAUGCGCUGCGAUCAAGCCGGCUCCUUUCCUUUAAACACGAAGUACCUAAUACUAAAACUGAAAACCGUAAGCACGAAGCUUAGUGAGUUCCCCCAUCAUACCACAUACCACACAAUCAUAUAACAUACAUAUACUGUCAAGCAUAUCCGGGUGCCCGACCUACCCCUUCGGU
Long non-coding RNA from Lactuca sativa (garden lettuce), 848 nucleotides. RefSeq lists it as uncharacterized. The record is from RefSeq and is a predicted model, not a curated record. Lineage: Eukaryota; Viridiplantae; Streptophyta; Magnoliopsida; Asterales; Asteraceae.